RNAcentral lists this ribosomal RNA (253 nucleotides) under uncultured bacterium. RNAcentral's name for it is "partial 16S ribosomal RNA". It matches the Rfam family "Bacterial small subunit ribosomal RNA", at positions 524 to 776 of the family's 1533-position model. The record is from RNAcentral.
UACGUAGGGGGCGAGCGUUAAUCGGAAUUACUGGGCGUAAAGCGUGCGCAGGCGGUUCGUUAAGUUCGAUGUGAAAGCCCCGGGCUCAACCUGGGAAUUGCAUUGGAAACUGGCGGGCUUGAGUGUGGCAGAGGGGGGUGGAAUUCCACGUGUAGCAGUGAAAUGCGUAGAGAUGUGGAGGAACACCGAUGGCGAAGGCAGCCCCCUGGGCUAACACUGACGCUCAGGCACGAAAGCGUGGGGAGCAAACAGG